UUUUGACUGAACGUGGUUUUUGUGCAGGUUGGAUCAAAUAGAUGUGGAGCAUUCAAGGGACUGAUAGAUUCAGCCAGCUGGAAGGAAGCUGGUUGGGGUAUUUAUGGUCAACCCCAGAAGGAGUAAAAAGAGGCCACUGGUCUUUGACUUUCACAAGGCUCCCCGGCAGAAAGAAAAAAAGUGGUGAUGGUCCAGGAAGAUGAAGGAUAGAGGAGAAAAAAGGAAGAGUUCUUCA
RNAcentral lists this long non-coding RNA (235 nucleotides) under Mustela putorius furo (domestic ferret). RNAcentral's name for it is "lncRNA (ENSMPUG00000025850.1)". The record is from RNAcentral. Lineage: Eukaryota; Metazoa; Chordata; Mammalia; Carnivora; Mustelidae.